GAUGAACGCUGGCGGCGUGCCUAAUACAUGCAAGUCGAGCGAACAGACGAGGAGCUUGCUCCUCUGACGUUAGCGGCGGACGGGUGAGUAACACGUGGAUAACCUACCUAUAUGACUGGGAUAACUUCGGGAAACGGGAGCUUAUACCGGAUAAUCUAUUGAACCGCAGGGUUGAAUAGUGAAAUACGGUGUUGCUGUAACUUAUAGAUGGUUCCGGGCCGCAGUGGAUGGUUGGUAAGGUAACGGGUUACGAAGGCAACGAUGCGUAGACGAAUGGAGAGACGGGUAGGCGACCUGGGAGGGGGACCGCGGUCAAUACUCCUACGGGAGGCAGCAGACGCGAACCGGACGCAGAAGUCGAAAGCCUUACGGAGCGACGCGGCGUGAGUGAUAAAGGUGUUCGGUGCGUGAAACUCUGUUAUUAGGUAAGAACAAAUGUGUAAGUAACUAUGCACGUCUUGACGGUACCUAAUAAGAAAGCAACGGCUAACUACGUG
Molecule: ribosomal RNA, 497 nt
Filed under: uncultured bacterium
Lineage: Bacteria
Description: partial 16S ribosomal RNA
Rfam family: Bacterial small subunit ribosomal RNA
Source: RNAcentral